Long non-coding RNA from Numida meleagris (helmeted guineafowl), 1239 nucleotides. RefSeq lists it as uncharacterized. NCBI's taxonomy places the organism in Eukaryota, Metazoa, Chordata, Aves, Galliformes, Numididae. The record is from RefSeq and is a predicted model, not a curated record. The transcript is spliced from 3 exons.
GUGGGUGCGAGGGCACGUGUCCUUGCCGCUGUGCAGCGGGAAGCGCCCGGCUCUGUUGGCUGAUGGGUUGCUGCGGCAUCCGCAUGAAUGGAGCAGAGCGCUGCGGGUCGGAGCGCUGGCUCUGUGGCGGCGUUACAACUUAGGAGCGCUGUGCGCCAGGGAGAGCAUCCCGCCUGGCCCCUCACAGCUCAUAGCAAGUGUGGGGACUGCUGCCUUGGGGGAGAAAUCCAGCUCUCCUGCGGAUUUCUCAAGAUUCCUUUUUUUUUUUUUUUUCUCUCUCCUACUCAGCUUUCCUAAGAUGCAAAACAGUUGCAUUGCUGAUAGUGCAAACACUCAGGGUUUACUUGUCUUUGCAGCUGACCUCUGAGCCUUAAAGAUGAACGGGAAUCCCAUUCCCGGGCUUUUGUCCACAACCACAGUAAAAUUGUGAAGAAACAAAAGCCCUGUAGGUUGGACACUGUGGCAGAGGUCUAAAGUCCUAUGAGCCGCCAGAAUGGUUAAGGAGAUGCAGCUUAAGAACUGGAUGAAAGCUUCAGGAAAACCACAUCUUACCAAAGCCUUGUGUGAGAAACAACAGAUACAUCAAAGGCCAUCUUGACUACCAAAUUUAACAUCCAUGCAAGCAAGAGAGUCGUUAUGCACCCACUCCCUGCUUGGCUCUGUUUGCUGUCUUUCCCUUCUCACCAAGUUAAACUUUAAGAGGAGAAAGGAGUCAGCACCUUGUGAGUGUUCCCAGCAGACACUGCACCUGACUCAGGCUUGUAGUGAUAGCACUUACAUCACCCAUAUGUAAAAUUGUUCCAGCAAGGAACUGGCUGAAUGGUUCGGGCAACUAGCCACUUACUGCAUGCAGUCAUCUGGAGGCCAAAUAAGCCAUGCCCCAGACGUGGAAGGCUGCAGGAAGAAAAGUGAGGGGCUGGGAGUGCAGCGAGAGGACAGAAAAGCAGCAUUCGUGAAGCCCCUCAAAAGAACGGGCCCGACCGCACAAGCGGGUUGGUGAUGGGCUUCUCCUCGCCCAGAGCAGCAAACCCCUGCAGAGCUCAAAACCGGCAGGAAGGCGGCUUUGGGUUCUCCUUAGGGAUGCGCACCAGACGCUGCUUGCUACGGCUCUGGCGGAGAGCCCCACACCCGCGGAUAGCGCACCGCACCCCGCCCACACGCGCGGUGUCCCGCUGCCAGCGCGCGGCGGCCCGAGCUCCCCUCGGCCCUCCCUCCGGGGGCGGCACGGGGGCGGCGGGC